RNAcentral lists this ribosomal RNA (446 nucleotides) under uncultured bacterium. RNAcentral's name for it is "partial 16S ribosomal RNA". It matches the Rfam family "Bacterial small subunit ribosomal RNA", at positions 354 to 796 of the family's 1533-position model. The record is from RNAcentral.
GUAGGGAAUAUUGGACAAUGGGGGGAACCCUGAUCCAGCCAUGCCGCGUGGAGGAAGACUGCCCUCUGGGUUGUAAACUCCUUUUAUAUGGGAAGAACCGUCCUCAUUAAUGAGUGACCUGACGGUACCAUAGGAAUAAGCACCGGCUAACUCCGUGCCAGCAGCCGCGGUAAUACGGAGGGUGCAAGCGUUAUCCGGAUUCACUGGGUUUAAAGGGUGCGUAGGCGGAUAAAUAAGUCAGUGGUGAAAUCAACGAGCUCAACCUGUUAACUGCCAUUGAUACUGUGUAUCUUGAAUAUGAGAGAGGUAGGCGGAAUGUUGCAUGUAGCGGUGAAAUGCUUAGAUAUGCUACGGAACACCGAUUGCGAAGGCAGCUUACUAUUUCGUAAUUGACGCUGAGGCACGAAAGCGUGGGUAGCGAACAGGAUUAGAAACCCCAGUAGUCC